RNAcentral lists this ribosomal RNA (239 nucleotides) under rumen bacterium 55. RNAcentral's name for it is "partial 16S ribosomal RNA". The stretch from base 1 to 115 matches the Rfam family "Bacterial small subunit ribosomal RNA", at positions 1069 to 1185 of the family's 1533-position model. The record is from RNAcentral.
GAGGCUUGGAGUGGGUAGUCCGCACGAGCGCAACCCUUGGUUCUAGUUGCCAGCAUUCAGUUGGGCACUCUAGAGCGACUGCCGGCGACAAGUCGGAGGAAGGUGUGGACGACGUAGGAGUGGGUAGUCCGCACGAGCGCAACCCUUGGUUCUAGUUGCCAGCAUUCAGUUGGGCACUCUAGAGCGACUGCCGGCGACAAGUCGGAGGAAGGUUCUAGUUGCCAGCAUUCAGUUGGGCA